GAUGAACGCUGGCGGCGUGCCUAACACAUGCAAGUCGAACGGAAAGGCCCUGAUUUUGUGCGGUUCUCGAGUGGCGAUCGGGUGAGUAACACGAGAGUAACCUGCCCUUGACUUUGGGAUAACUUAACGAAACUGGGGCUAAUAUCAGAUAGGAGAUCAUGCACCAUGGUGGGCAUUGGAAAGUCUCGGCUGUUGGGGAUGGACUCGCGGCUUAUGAGCUAGCUGGUGGGGUAGUGGCUUACCCAGGGUUUGACGGAUAGCCCGCCUGGGAGGGUGGCCGGCGACAAUGGGACUGAGGGAGGGCGCAGAGGGGUACGUGAGGCAGCAGUCGGAAAUAUUGCACAAUGAGCGGGAGUGGGUGGCAGCGACGCCGCGUGCGGAAUGACGGCUUGUUGGGUAUGAACCGCUGUCGCCUGUGACGAAGCUGUAGUGACGGUAAUGAGUGAAUAAGCACCGGCUAACUACGUG
This 468-nucleotide ribosomal RNA is filed under the name uncultured bacterium. Its description in RNAcentral is "partial 16S ribosomal RNA". It matches the Rfam family "Bacterial small subunit ribosomal RNA", at positions 28 to 507 of the family's 1533-position model. The record is from RNAcentral.